CUUAGAGGAGGCACACAGCCAACACGUCCAGUUAACCAGGAUAAAUGAUUUAAAAGAACUUUGUAAAAAUGCUGAACAUAAUUUGCUAUCACCAAAUAUAGGAAUCUCUGAAGCCAGCUGUCUUGCUCAUAUGAAAUGCAAUGACAAGAUCCAAAUUGUGAGAAAAGGAAUCCAACUUGGUUGGAACAGGAAAGAAACAAAAACAAAGAACCUCUGGCCCAGAGUCAUUUCUGUUUGGAAAAAUUUCUGAAGAUUAAACUUAGGCCCUGAGUGCACCUAACAGUGCAAUCUGCAGGCUGCCAACGCGUAGCCGUGGAACUAAAUCCAGCAGCUCAAGUGUCCCAUCACAAUUUGAAAUCCAG
Molecule: long non-coding RNA, 362 nt
Filed under: Homo sapiens (human)
Lineage: Eukaryota; Metazoa; Chordata; Mammalia; Primates; Hominidae
Description: non-protein coding lnc-SPTBN1-2:1
Source: RNAcentral